This 847-nucleotide ribosomal RNA is filed under the name Hymenobacter sp. RNAcentral's name for it is "bacterial SSU rRNA". It matches the Rfam family "Bacterial small subunit ribosomal RNA", at positions 51 to 907 of the family's 1533-position model. The record is from RNAcentral. Lineage: Bacteria; Pseudomonadati; Bacteroidota; Cytophagia; Cytophagales; Hymenobacteraceae.
AUACAUGCAAGUCGAACGGUCUUUAGCAAUAGAGAUAGUGGCGCACGGGUGCGUAACGCGUAACCAACCUACCCGAAUCUGGGGGAUAGCCCGCCGAAAGGCGGAUUAAUACCGCAUAAAACUGCAGAGCGGCAUCGUUUAACAGUUAAAGAUUUAUUGGAUUCGGAUGGGGUUGCGUGCCAUUAGCUAGUUGGUGAGGUAACGGCCCACCAAGGCUACGAUGGCUAGGGGAGCUGAGAGGCUGGUCCCCCACACGGGCACUGAGAUACGGGCCCGACUCCUACGGGAGGCAGCAGUAGGGAAUAUUGGGCAAUGGAGGAGACUCUGACCCAGCCAUGCCGCGUGCCGGAUGAAGGCCUUCUGGGUCGUAAACGGCUUUUUUCCGGGAAGAACCGGUUCUGUGCGCAGGGCUUUGACGGUACCGGGAGAAUAAGCACCGGCUAACUCCGUGCCAGCAGCCGCGGUAAUACGGAGGGUGCGAGCGUUGUCCGGAUUUAUUGGGUUUAAAGGGUGCGUAGGCGGCCGCGUAAGUCUGGGGUGAAAGCCCGUUGCUCAACAACGGAACUGCCCUGGAAACUGUGUGGCUUGAGUCCAGACGAGGUUGGCGGAAUGGGCGGUGUAGCGGUGAAAUGCAUAGAUACCGUCCAGAACCCCGAUUGCGAAGGCAGCUGACUAGGCUGGUACUGACGCUGAGGCACGAAAGCGUGGGGAGCGAACAGGAUUAGAUACCCUGGUAGUCCACGCCGUAAACGAUGGAUACUCGCUGCCAGCGAUAGAUAGUUGGUGGCUUAGCGAAAGCGUUAAGUAUCCCACCUGGGGAGUACGCCCGCAAGGGUGAACUCAGGGA